AUUGAACGCUGGCGGCAGGCCUAACACAUGCAAGUCGAACGGUAACAGGAAGCAGCUUGCUGCUUCGCUGACGAGUGGCGGACGGGUGAGUAAUGUCUGGGAAACUGCCUGAUGGAGGGGGAUAACUACUGGAAACGGUAGCUAAUACCGCAUAACGUCGCAAGACCAAAGAGGGGGACCUUAGGGCCUCUUGCCAUCGGAUGUGCCCAGAUGGGAUUAGCUAGUAGGUGGGGUAACGGCUCACCUAGGCGACGAUCCCUAGCUGGUCUGAGAGGAUGACCAGCCACACUGGAACUGAGACACGGUCCAGACUCCUACGGGAGGCAGCAGUGGGGAAUAUUGCACAAUGGGCGCAAGCCUGAUGCAGCCAUGCCGCGCGUAUGAAGAAGGCCUUCGGGUUGUAAAGUACUUUCAGCGGGGAGGAAGGGAGUAAAGUUAAUACCUUUGCUCAUCGACGUUACCCGCAGAAGAAGCACCGGCUAACUCCGUG
Molecule: ribosomal RNA, 490 nt
Filed under: uncultured bacterium
Lineage: Bacteria
Description: partial 16S ribosomal RNA
Rfam family: Bacterial small subunit ribosomal RNA
Source: RNAcentral